GUGCCUUAGAACACUUACGAGAACUUGACUUGACCAACUGUUGCAAUAUAAAGAAACUUCCGAGUUCUUUCUAUAAGCUUCGAAGGUUACAAUCAUUAAGAAUGAGGGGUGUUCCUUUGAUGCAAUUGCCUGUGAGCAUGGAAACCUUGAUUGAGCUUAGAUAUCUAGAAAUAACUAUUAAAGCUAAGAAAUUGAAAGGAAGUCGAUUAAGAAGUUGGACUUCACUUCAAUGCUUGGCGUUGGUUGAUUGCGACAAUUUAGAAUGUCUAUCUGAGGAAAUGAAGUGCCUCACCGAACUUACACAUCUAAUACUUCACGGCUGUACGGAGUUGAGUAACAGAUACCAUAUAAACGGGCGUUUAGAUUGGCAGGAAUGGCUCAAAAAGAAAAGGAUUCCAUUUGAUGAUCUAUUUAAUUAAAAUUUGAGGUACGCAGCAAUAUUUUAAUUUCUCUAUCAAAUUUUUAUUUCAUAAUAUAUAUAUAUAUAUUCUUUUUGAGUAAAGGCCUUUUUCUUUACUUUCUUUAAAAGUCCGAGUUUUAAUUGAAAAUGUUAUCACAGGUGUAUGACAUGUACAUGAUUUGAAGGUUGCUUCUACUCGAAAUAAAAAGAGGUGAGCUUUUAUUUACUGCCAUAAAUAUCUCCAUUAACUAUUAUAAUUCGGCUUUUUAUAAGUUAUAAGCCUAUCCAAUGAUAUUAAUGUACCACAAAGUUGUUUUUUCUUGUCAUCUAUGCAUAACAUCCAAGUUGCCUACUAUUUUUUUUCUUUAAUAUUGAUUUUCCCUUUCUGAGAAGCUAAUAUAUCAUAUACUAACUUCUUGCAAUUCCUCACAAACGAGAGAAUAUUAAGGUGGCAUUAUAAUGGACAUGUUGAUUGGGACAGGGGAAAAAAUACUAAAAUUUCAUCAAAUGCAGUCUGCAAUCCAAAUUGAAAUUUCAUAAAAAAAUUGCAAUAUGGUUUUUGUUUCCCCUUUUUAUAAUUAAUUAACGAAUUGAGUAAAAAAAUUUGAGUUAGUCGAGUUGACACUAUUUAUCAUUCUAACUUAAUUUAAAAUUUUUUUAAAUUGAGUUGAGUGAAAUGAAAUUUUAGUUGAAUCAAAUUAAGUUAUAUUGUUCGAAUUAAAUAAAAAAUUAAACAUAUCAAAAUAAAAUCUUGUUACAAUAUAAAUAGUUUAUGUUAGAGCAUAUAAAUUUGAAACUAUAUAUAUCUGAAACUCUUUCAAAGCAAAAUAAGAUAAAAAAAAAUGACACUUUAGUUGGAUAAACUUGAAUUUUUUAAUUUACUUGUUUAGCUCCUCAAGGAUAUCUUAUGAGGGUAACAUAUUUAUGACAAGGUCAUUGGAUGAGCACUGAGUAAUUGCUUUUGUAAUGGUAUGUCGUUGAGUAGAGCUCAAACAUGACACUAUAGUGGAAUGACUUCGUGACUAAAUGAGUUUAUAAUUAAUAGGUGAAAAGCCGAAACUUAAUUAUAAAUCAUUUGAGCCUCAAGUACAUAUGUUCAAUCGGUCCUUCCGCUAGCUCAUUGAAACAAAAAAAUGAAUUGCGUGUUUGAAUAGAAAUGAACGGAAUGAAUAGAAAAAGAGAAAUGAGAAACAUUCAAGAAUGAUUAUGGUUUUCUCCGAAAUGCAGAAAUUGAAAUCAUUUGGAAAUGAAAAUGAACAUGAAAACUUGCAAUCCUAUAUAUGAUUACUUAAAAAAUGAUGGAAGAAUGAGUUUAUAUUUUUGGAUUGUUUUGAAGCCCGAAAAUGAAAAUAAAUAAUUCAGUCAUAGUGAACAUGUUGAAUUGUGACAUAUUGAACGAAUUUUUCUUGAAAUUUUAUCGGGGGUAAAAUUGUCAAAAAUUUUACUAGGGCAAAUUUGGAAUGAAAAAAUUAUUUAAUAUGUAAAUAUUAAAUUUUAUUUUGGGAAAUAGAAAAACUGAAUCAGGUUGGAUCAUAUUACAAAGUAUUGGGUCAAAAAUGCCUAGGAAGUACUCGUAAUUGGACCCGAUGUAAGAGAGACCCAAAACCCCUUAUGUAAGGAGGUGGGACGACAAAACCCUAGUAUCAUUAAUUAGGUUGCUAUGCCCGAUAUCCUAGUUAAAACUAGGAUAUCGUUUUUCUAGUGGAAAUAAACUUUUACAACUCUAUAAGGGUUCUACCUUCUUUUCGUAUAAAUAGAUGGCACCGGUAGAGUUAUGAUCACAACUUUUGAGAGAUUGUUAUUAUAAACAUAUUUUUCAGAAUAAAAAUUUUACCGGUUUCUAUAAAAGAAAAGUGAAUUUUUUUCACCCCAAAAGGAAAUUUUUUCUUGUUUUGUGUUUUGAUUCAAUUGAUUCGAGCCAACACUCGAAGCAUUUCGUGGUACGAGAAUAGCGGAGAAAAUCGUUUAGUUGAAAGUCGGAAAACAUAAAGGAUCUAAUUAUCCAAAAACACAUGUACGGAUUCAAUUAAGGUUUAUUUAUAUAAAUAUCACAAACCAAGUUAGUUUUCAAAAUUUUAAUUUUUUUCUGUACAAGAAAACCAUUUUCAAACCAGAUUUUUUCCAACACAUCAUUGUCUUCCAAUAUGAGUAGUUAGCACCAUUGAAAUAAGGAGGCUUGGAAAUAGAUUGAGACUCACCAAGAAAAUUUAAGCCAGAAGUAGAUGGCAUAGUUUGGAUUUAGUUGAUGAUUGUUGAGCUUCGUCAAUGAUCUCCUCUUUGGUUGUUAAAUCGUCUAAAAGAGACUAAUUGAUACCAAUUUUUAGCUUGAUAGUUCAACUCGGAAUCACCAAGAGGGGGUAAAUUGGCCUCUUAAAAAAUUUGGUUGUGUGACACCCCUAACCUAUCUCCGUCGUCGGAUUAAGGUUACAGAGCAAUCAAAAACAUUUUAACAUUAUAUCAUUCAAUAUUAUAAUCACAUCAUAAGCCUUUUGUUCACAUGCAUAUUGUUUCUAAAUCGAGUCCUUGAGGCCCUAAAAAUAGCUCAGAAACAAUUCGGGACCAAUUUGAAUCAAUUUAGAAAAAUUUUGGAAAAGUAGAAAAAUUUGAAAAUAGAGGACACAAGGCCGUGUGGCCAGGCCAUGUGCCCCACACGACUGAGAGACACACCCGUGUCUCAGGCCUUGUAACCUUCGAACUAGGGACACACGAUCGUGUCCCAACUUGUGUCCUCACCUAUGUAACUUUCUGAGUAGGGUCACACAGUCGUGUCACAUGCUCGUGUGCCAGGCCAUGUAACUCUCGAAGUUUCCCCACACGCCCAUGCGCUAGGCUGUGUGUUAGGCCGUGUAACUCAUUACUUGUAUACAAAGGACCACCAGGUGACAUAUGACCAUCUCAUAAGGCCGUGUGCCUCACACGGUCGAGUCACACGCCCGUGUCUCAGGCCAUGUGAGCUUAAUUUACCUAUUUCUUGCUCAAUUUUACAUCCUUAUGGCAUAGGUACCUACACACUUUCAAUUACACAUAUGGGAAUUUCAAUUCAACUUCAAACACACUUUAACACAAUCACAUAUUCACUCUAUGCAUCAAGUAUUUAUCAACCUUGACACCUCAAUAUAUUCCAUCACAAGUCAUUCCCAACUUGUAGCUACAAACACAUCUAACACUAUAAACAUAUAUCCAUUUCAUUAUAGGCUCAAGUUGACUCAUACCAUACCAUUUACAGUGAAAUUUCAAACACAUUUAGGUAAUAAGUAAGAGUUCACAAGUUGUUCAAAUGCAUAACAUAUGACAACAUACUUCUCAAACGCUAGGUAUUUCACAAGCCAAUACAUAAGGUCCUAGUACAUGCCAUAUACCAAAACUGAGAAGUUAAGCCUACCAAGGUUCCCGGAUAGUGUGAUUCCUAGUGUCGACCUGAUAUUCUUAGCCUUCAAAAUAUGAUCUAUAAAAUGAGAAAUUUAAAGGUAAGCUUGAAUAUAACUUAGUAAGUUUGUUUAGAAAUUCCUAACCUUUUCACUCCAACAUAGUUUCAAUCACUUAAGUUUAGAGAUUUCCAUUAUACGUAGUUUAUAACAGUAAUCACAACCAAUUCAAUAAUUUAGUAUACUCAGUGAGCAUUGCUCGAUUGAACUUUUCAUUUGUAUAACGUAGUUUUCUACUCAUUUGAGCUUUACUCAGUAAUACGGUAGAAUUUCAUCGAUUUAAACAUCAGUCAGUAAAACAAUAAGAUUUACUCAGUUAAGUUCCAUUCAGUAUAAUUUUAUGAUUUGCUCGAUUGAGCUUCAUUCAGUAUAAUAGUAAGAUUUGACUCGAUAGAGCGUACUUCCAGUAUAUGAAACGAUGUUCAUUAACAACAUGUUAACAAGAUUGUAAGCAUGUAAGAGUAUAACUAAGCAUACGAACUUACCAAACUGUUUUGCAAAAGAUUCUAAAGUAUAGAGACUACUCUGUGAUUUUUCUUUUUCCAUGAUUAUCGGCUCGUUCUUGAUCUAAAAAUAAUAAUUUCAUUCCAAUGAUUAGAAUAACAACAUAAUUUAGUCCAUUUCAUGCAAUUGAGUCCCUUUUGUUACAUUUACAUAUUUACCCCUCAAUCUUUCAUUUUAUUUAAUUUAAUCCCUAUGCCCUUAUCAUGCAAAUUAUCCAUUUUUUCCUUAACACCCAUGUUAGUCGAUUGUUCCCUAUCUUCCUAUCAACUCCUAUUUUCAAUAAUUUCACCUCAAUUACAAACAAUUUGACAUUUAAUCAAUUUAGUCCCUAAACAUCAAAAUAAUCAAAUAUCACUUUUCAAAAUAAUCUAAUCUAUCAACAAAGUUCCAUAUUUCAUCAAAAGCUUUAAGAAACAACCUCAUUCAUCAAUGGAAACUUUUAUAACAUUUAACAGUUUCACAAAUUGGUCCUCGAUUUAGAUGGACUAAACUGAUACAAAUUCAAAAACAUAAAAAAUACUAAAAACGAGCAUCAAUACACUUACCAAAUCAAGGUUUAAAAUUUAAAGUUGAAAACCCUAGCUUUUCCUUUCUUGCCCGUAGAGAAGAUGAAGUGAAAAUGACAUUUUUCUUUAAAUUUUAGGUUUAAUUCAAUAUAUAUUGUGACAUUUUUGUAAAUACUUCAACUUUCUUAAUUAAGCUUUAAUAAAUCAGAAUUAAUCCUAAUUAGUUCACUUAUUUAAACAUAAUUCCAUAAAAUCCCACUAACUAAUUUUUCAUGGUUAAAUUUCCCUUUUAACCCUUUUAAUUUAGCUACUCAACCUUUAUAGUUUUUACAAUCCAGUCCUUUUUAGUUAUUAAGCUAUCCAAACAAUAAAAUUUCUUAACCAAAUUUUAAUAUGACUCUAUAGACCUCAUAAUUAUACUAAUUAAGCAAUAUUCGUGAAUUAUUUCAUCGAAAUUAUGGUUUUGAAACCACUGUUUUUGACAUCACUGAAAAUUGGGCUGUUACAGGUUGCUAAGAAAAAGAUAGAGACAAUGAACACUUCGAUAUAUAGUGGUUUCACCCCAAUUGCCUACUCUACUAUCUUAGCUUUCCACAACUAAUAAUUUUUUUUUCUAAAUUCGCUAAUUUGGUAGCCUUUGAGGAUAAUGUUUAACCUUACAAACUCCCUAAAGGUUUCUACCCAAACCUUAAGACACAAAUCCUCUCAAAGAGUAAAUACAAAUAACAAACUAAGAAGAAAUCCUUACGAGAUUGAAUUGUUUGCCAAUUAAGCACUAAUAAACAAGAAUAUACUUGAGCUAAAAGAAUAACAAUGAAAGCUCACAAGUGUGUACAAGAAAAGUAUGAAAAUUAAGUACAUACGGGCACUUUGUCUACAGGAUUCACCAUUGACAGCUUUACCAAAUUCCAUUGGUGCCUUAAAACACUUACGAGAACUUGACUUGACCAACUAUUGCAAUAUAAAGAAACUUCCGAGUUUUUUCUAUAAGCUUUGAAGGUUACAAUCAUUAAAAAUGAGGGGUGUUCCUUUGAUGCAAUUGCCUGUGAGCAUGGAAACCUUGAUUGAGCUUAGAUAUCUAGAAAUAACUAUUAAAGCUAAGAAAUUGAAAGGAA
Molecule: long non-coding RNA, 5950 nt
Filed under: Gossypium barbadense (sea-island cotton)
Lineage: Eukaryota; Viridiplantae; Streptophyta; Magnoliopsida; Malvales; Malvaceae
Description: long non-coding RNA (GBAR_LNC022396)
Source: RNAcentral